ACUUGAUACAAACCGUCCAAGUGGAAAACAUAAUCUGGUGGAAUGGAUCAAACCAUAUUUAUGUGAUAAAAGAAAGUUGAAGAACAUUAUGGACUCUGGAUUAGAGGGGAAAUAUCCUUCGAAAGCAACAUUCAGAAUUGCUCAGCUUGCUCUAAAUUGUAUCGAAUCUGAACCUAAGCAUCGGCCAUCUAUGAAAGAAGUUGUGGAGACAUUGGAAGGAAUUGAAGCAAGUAAUGAAAGGCCGAGAGAGCCUAAAGUUCGUUCUAACCGCCAGCACACCCAACAACAUUUGCAGAAUCGUUCUUCACUUCAUCCAAGGCAGGAUGGAAAUCAAGCAUAUCAACAACCUCCGCGGGUGAGGUAACUAGGGUACAACUAUUUCCAAGUAAGCACAAAUCCUUAAGUUUUUGGUGGUUUGUCCAUCAAAUAUUUGUCAAAUCUUUAUUCAAGUAAUAUAGUAAAAUCUAUGGCGAGUUGUUGUAACGGUGACUUGAAUGGAGCGUUAGUGUAUUGGUGGUAAACCUGCAAUUAUUUUCUCUGGAAUGAAGAGGUGUGUUGAAAAGGAUGUAUGCAGAGUACUUGUACUAUUUUAGGAGGGGAAAUGAAUUCAUUGCUCCACUAUAAAACCCCUCCAUGAUAUCGAUUUCAGACGGUUGUACACAAAUCUGGUUGGGAUUUCAUUUGUGGUGCCAACAAUGAAAGAAAUUCAUUUCAUUCACAUUAUUUUUCUACACAAUCUUCAUUUAUCACUUUCAUUUUUACUUGCACUGAACUGAAAAAGUAGUUACUGUUUUGUUAGAUUUGAAUGGCUGAUGAAAAAUGUGUUAACUAGCAGAACACUAGUACUGCUUGAACAUUUAUGUCACCUAGUAUAAUUAUAUAAAUAGCAAUGGCAAAGGGCUGAUGACUUCUCUGCCAUUUGUG
This 924-nucleotide unclassified non-coding RNA is filed under the name Hevea brasiliensis (rubber tree). Lineage: Eukaryota; Viridiplantae; Streptophyta; Magnoliopsida; Malpighiales; Euphorbiaceae. The record is from RNAcentral.